UUCCCAUUUCAACCUAGACGAUCUACAUUUUCAAACAUGUAAAACUGCUUUUGCUUACGACACAAUCCGUCUCAUUUUAUCUCUACCCCGCUACAAAUGGAUGCUUUCACAGGUUGUCAAAUAUUACCAUGUUCUCAUAAAGUUCAUUAAGAAUGCGCCAAUGAAAUGAUUCGAAGAGUAAUAACACGCUGUCCCAUUUGUCGUGAAAGUUUUGCUCAUAAACUUGAAAAGAAAACUCCAUCGAAGAGACGUCACGGUGGAAGACAUAAAUGACAAGCAGCCAUUAGAUAGAUUUACAUUUUGUCCUUCGAUCUGUAUUUCUAUAUUGGCUGCUUUUAAUUUGAUUAUAGAAAACGAUGAUUUGUGUUUUUAUGAUUUUGUUAAAUUCCUCUGGAGAUGUGUACAUUGAACAAAUUGAUAUAUUUUGUUCCACGUUUAAGAUUGUGUGAUAUUUUUCUUUUAGAAUCACAUCAGGUACACGUGCCAAAAUUUAUAUAAAGUUCAAUUUUAUCUUAAUCUAUUAUGUAACUUGUAAAAGCUCCAGUUUUUCAAAUUAGUGAAAUAGUUAGUCAAUGCACACCUUUUUAAUUUGUGCGUAAAAGAUAA
Xenia sp. Carnegie-2017 is the source of this 606-nucleotide long non-coding RNA. RefSeq lists it as uncharacterized. The record is from RefSeq and is a predicted model, not a curated record. NCBI's taxonomy places the organism in Eukaryota, Metazoa, Cnidaria, Anthozoa, Malacalcyonacea, Xeniidae. The transcript has 3 exons.